GUAGGUGAACCUGCGGAAGGAUCAUUAAAGAGUUAGGGUCUCCUAGGCCCGAUCUCCCAACCCUUUGUUUAUUGAACCUCUGUUGCUUCGGCGGACCCGCCUCACGGCCGCCGGAGGACCGCUGAAAGGCGUCCUCUGGCCAGCGUCCGUCGACAGCCAACCACUCAAACUCUGAAUAAAUCGUGUCAUUUGUCUAAGUCUAUGAUUAAAUUAAAGCAAAACUUUCAACAACGGAUCUCUUGGUUCUG
This 248-nucleotide unclassified non-coding RNA is filed under the name rhizosphere metagenome. Its description in RNAcentral is "partial ribosomal RNA internal transcribed spacer region". The record is from RNAcentral.